AGGACGAACGCUGGCGGCGUGCUUAACACAUGCAAGUCGAGCGGUAAGGCCUUUCGGGGUACACGAGCGGCGAACGGGUGAGUAACACGUGGGUGAUCUGCCCUGCACUUCGGGAUAAGCCUGGGAAACUGGGUCUAAUACCGGAUAUGACCUCCUAUCGCAUGGUGGGUGGUGGAAAGAUUUAUCGGUGCAGGAUGGGCCCGCGGCCUAUCAGCUUGGUUGGUGGGUAAUGGCCUACCAAGGCGACGACGGGUAGCCGACCUGAGACGGGUGACCGGCCACGACGUGGGACUGAGACACGGCCCAGACUCCGACGGGAGCAGCAGUGGGAAUAUGCACAAGUGGGACGAAGCCUGAUGCAGCGACGCCGCGUGGAGGAUGACGGUCCGUUACGGGUUACGUAAACCGUUCUUUCGAGUCGAAGGACGUAUAAGU
This 435-nucleotide ribosomal RNA is filed under the name uncultured soil bacterium. RNAcentral describes it as "bacterial SSU rRNA". It matches the Rfam family "Bacterial small subunit ribosomal RNA", at positions 26 to 461 of the family's 1533-position model. The record is from RNAcentral.